Molecule: ribosomal RNA, 291 nt
Filed under: Enterococcus faecalis
Lineage: Bacteria; Bacillati; Bacillota; Bacilli; Lactobacillales; Enterococcaceae
Description: partial 23S ribosomal RNA
Rfam family: Bacterial large subunit ribosomal RNA
Source: RNAcentral
GGUUAAGUGAAUAAGGGCGCACGGUGGAUGCCUUGGCACUAGGAGCCGAUGAAGGACGGGACUAACACCGAUAUGCUUUGGGGAGCUGUAAGUAAGCUAUGAUCCAGAGAUUUCCGAAUGGGGGAACCCAAUAUCUUUUAUAGGAUAUUACUUUUCAGUGAAUACAUAGCUGAUUAGAGGUAGACGCAGAGAACUGAAACAUCUUAGUACCUGCAGGAAGAGAAAGAAAAUUCGAUUCCCUGAGUAGCGGCGAGCGAAACGGGAAGAGCCCAAACCAACAAGCUUGCUUGU